RNAcentral lists this ribosomal RNA (171 nucleotides) under uncultured bacterium. RNAcentral's name for it is "partial 16S ribosomal RNA". It matches the Rfam family "Bacterial small subunit ribosomal RNA", at positions 1330 to 1500 of the family's 1533-position model. The record is from RNAcentral.
AAUCGCUAGUAAUCGCGAAUCAGCAUGUCGCGGUGAAUACGUUCCCGGGUCUUGUACACACCGCCCGUCACACCAUGGGAGUCGAUAACACCCGAAGCCUGUGAGCUAACCGCAAGGGGGCAGCAGUCGAAGGUGGGGUUGAUGAUUGGGGUGAAGUCGUAACAAGGUACC